UUGUGGGUUUUCUACCCUUUCCGCAGAUGAGCCCUUAUUACUCUUGUAAAGGUACUAACUUCAACGCUUUUUAGCUUAUAUUGUGCUUGAUCAUUAUUUAAAAAUGUUUGGCAUCUGCAAUUGCAUAUCAUUUUCAAGGUAACAAUAAGCAGGGAAGAUAGAUAUUGAAUUAGGUUUUUUUUACUUUGUAUUGUUUCUAUGGAGUUACAAUCCUUAGGAGAACAUAUUAUCUUCUAGUCAAAAGAUUGACAAGAUUUUUAAUUCCUAAAGUUUUGUUUAUCUUACUUAUUUCCAUUACUUUGUAGAACCACAAAAGGCCAUUCAAGAGAUCGCAAGAGACUUGACCGGUUCUGUCCUCUCCGUGAAGGUACAGAUAUUAACCACUUAAAUACUAUUCUUGAACUUCUUCUUAUCUAAAGCAUGCACAUUGCCCUUGUAAAGUAUCCGUUGGUUUGAAAGUAUAAUGCAUCUUGAAGAUUUGGAACUUAGAUUUUAGAUGCCACAUUAUAAUUUCU
Molecule: long non-coding RNA, 515 nt
Filed under: Nicotiana benthamiana
Lineage: Eukaryota; Viridiplantae; Streptophyta; Magnoliopsida; Solanales; Solanaceae
Description: long non-coding RNA (NBEN_LNC002548)
Source: RNAcentral